RNAcentral lists this ribosomal RNA (499 nucleotides) under uncultured bacterium. RNAcentral describes it as "bacterial SSU rRNA". It matches the Rfam family "Bacterial small subunit ribosomal RNA", at positions 355 to 870 of the family's 1533-position model. The record is from RNAcentral.
UGGGGAAUCUUGGACAAUGGGGGCAACCCUGAUCCAGCCAUGCCGCGUGAGUGAUGAAGGCCUUAGGGUCGUAAAGCUCUUUCGCCUGUGAAGAUAAUGACGGUAGCAGGUAAAGAAACCCCGGCUAACUCCGUGCCAGCAGCCGCGGUAAUACGGAGGGGGUUAGCGUUGUUCGGAAUUACUGGGCGUAAAGUGCACGUAGGCGGACCAGAAAGUUGGGGGUGAAAUCCCGGGGGCUCAACCCCGGAACUGCCUCCAAAACUAUUGGUCUAGAGUUCGAGAGAGGUGAGUGGAAUUCCAAGUGUAGAGGUGAAAUUCGUAGAUAUUUGGAGGAACACCAGUGGCGAAGGCGGCUCACUGGCUCGAUACUGACGCUGAGGUGCGAAAGUGUGGGGAGCAAACAGGAUUAGAUACCCUGGUAGUCCACACCGUAAAACGAUGAAUGCCAGUCGUCGGGUAGCAUGCUAUUCGGUGACACACCUAACGGAUUAAGCAUUCC